Molecule: ribosomal RNA, 253 nt
Filed under: uncultured bacterium
Lineage: Bacteria
Description: partial 16S ribosomal RNA
Rfam family: Bacterial small subunit ribosomal RNA
Source: RNAcentral
UACGUAGGGUCCGAGCGUUUUCCGGAAUUAUUUGGCGUAAAGAGCUUGUAGGCGGUUUGUCGCGUCUGCUGUGAAAUUUCGGGGCUCAACCCCGAACUUGCAGUGGGUACGGGCAGACUAGAGUGUGGUAGGGGAGACUGGAAUUCCUGGUGUAGCGGUGAAAUGCGCAGAUAUCAGGAGGAACACCGAUGGCGAAGGCAGGUCUCUGGGCCACUACUGACGCUGAGAAGCGAAAGCAUGGGGAGCGAACAGG